AAUAUUGGACAAUGGGGGCAACCCAGAUCCAACCAUGCCGCGUCUGUGAAGAAGGUCUUUGGAUUGUAAAGCACUUUACGUUGGGAGGAAGGGCUUUAGGCUAAUACACUACAGUUUUGCCGUUACCAACUGAAUAAGCUACGGCUAACUCUGUGUCAGCAGCCGCGGUAAGUCAGAGGGUGCAAGCCUUAAUCGGAAUUACUUGCCGAAAAGCGCGCGUAGGUGGUUCAGUAAGUUGGGUGUGAAAUCCCCGGGCGUAACCUGGGAAUUGCUUUCAUAACUGCGGAGCUAGAGUACGGUAGAGGGUAGUGGAAUUUCCUGUGUAGCGGUGAAAUGCGUAGAUAUAGGAAGGAACACCAGUGGCGAAGGCGACUACCUGGACUGAUACUGACACUGAGGUGCGAAAGCGUGGGGAGCAAACA
Molecule: ribosomal RNA, 422 nt
Filed under: uncultured bacterium
Lineage: Bacteria
Description: partial 16S ribosomal RNA
Rfam family: Bacterial small subunit ribosomal RNA
Source: RNAcentral